AACCAGGAUGUUGGCUCAGAAGCAGCCAUGCAUUCAAAGAGUGCGUAAUAGCUCACUGGUCGAGAGGUCCUGCGCCGAAAAUGUCCGGGGCUGAAACACGACACCGAAGCUGAGGAAUCUUUUUAAGAUUGGUAGAGGAGCAUUGCAUAAGGGAAGAAGCAGUACCGGAAGGAGCUGUGGACUUUAUGGAAGAGAGAAUGCCGGAAUGAGUAGCGAGAAUGAGGUGGGAAUCCUCAUGGCCGAAUAUCCAAGGUUUCCAGGGUAAAGCUGAUCUGCCCUGGGUAAGUCGGGGCCUAAGGCGAGGUCGAAAGACGUAGUCGAUGGACAACAGGUUGAGAUUCCUGUACUGCAGUAUGACAGAACUGUGGGGACACGUGUGGAGAGCAUAGCCGCGGAAUGGAAAGCCGCGGGCAAGCGAGGUAGGAGAUGUGUAGGAAAAACCGCAUAUCAAUCCGAAGGCGUGAUGCGGAGCGAACUGAAGUAGCGAAGUAUGUGAGCCAUGCGUCGAGAAAAGCCGCUAUUGUUCAUACUGUACCCGUACCGUAAACCGA
Molecule: ribosomal RNA, 551 nt
Filed under: Blautia sp. An81
Lineage: Bacteria; Bacillati; Bacillota; Clostridia; Lachnospirales; Lachnospiraceae
Description: bacterial LSU rRNA
Rfam family: Bacterial large subunit ribosomal RNA
Source: RNAcentral